GGUCCCGGCGCGGGGCCAGGCCGCGCUGUGCGGCGCCGCCGCCGUUGCCCCGCGCAACCGCCGCGGGCUGCGCCAUGGGGGACGGGGACGGCGGCGGCACAGGCGGCCCCGAGCGGCUGGCGCCGGAGCUGGGGCGGGAGAGGCGGAAGAAGCAGAUGCUUGAAAUCUCAAUAUUUGAACUGAGAAACACAGUGACAGAACUGGAAAAAAGGCUUAGCAGUAUUGAAGAUGAAGGUAAUGAAUGGAAAACUAGAUACGAGACACAAAUAGAAUUGAAUAGACAGCUGGAAGGACAAAUUAUUAAACUUCAAGCCAAGAUGGAGCUUAUUCGUGGAAAUCCAACAGAUAAAUUGUCCUCUGUUCGUACCUUUGAUCAAAUGCCCGUGGGUUCCUUAAAGCAGGUUCUUAAGCAACUAGAAGAGGAGAAGAAAAGUCUCCAGAACCAGCUAAAAGACUAUGAACUUAGACUGGAACAAGAAGCAAAGGCUUACCACAAAGCCAAUGAUGAGCGGCGCAUGUACCUCUCAGAGAUCUUACAGACCUCAGCUACACUUAAACUUGUUGAAAGGCAAAAACCAGAUGCAAUGACAGGGAAGAGAGAAAACCAGAUACUGAGGAGCAGAGUGGAGAUGGGAGCAGGCUUUCCCAAUGGAUCUGUGUAUCUUGGAGGGCAGACUGAUGCAUCACUCCGCAGAAGGGGCUCACCCAGACUGCUCUCUUGUCUGAGGAAAUGGCCAAGAACCAACAAAAGCUAAGCUGUUAGGAUUGGUUUAAGCUGUGAAUCCAUUCAGGAUGCCUGUCACAUAGGUGACAUCCGCUGCAGUCACUGUCCUCCACAUGGCAUGCUCUGUGUAGGUGACAGCAUCCGAGAUCACAUUCUCUUAAAAAGACUGUCGGGACUUCAUAUUCCUCAUGAAGCAGAACUGAGGUAUAUUUUGUGUUCUCUGGCUGGCAAGACAGGUAACAGCUAGCUGGUUUAGCUGUGCCCUUGAUGUUAUCUUACAGGAACUUUCUGUGGUGCUUAUAACUGCCUUUAGCUAGCUCUCAGAUGUCCUUACUAUAACCAGAGAUGUUGGCACGUCGCUGGGUAGCAAUGAGAAGAGGUAUGUCUGAUGGUAGUAACACAGCAGCAGGAGUUGCACUCUUCAUCUACAGUAUAGAGCUGAGGACUGGAGAGGAGAGAAGGGAGAGGUGUACCUUUAGCACAGGCCCAUUAUGAACAUCUCCACUUCUCCUUCUAGAGAGGCAGAUUAUUUGUAGGGCCUAUGCUGAACUAUUUUGCCCGUUACAACCCAACACAAAACAGGUCCGAAAACACAGUACUGACUCAUUGCAGGUGCUCCGAUGCACCUAGCUGGAGAUGCUAAUCAGCUGCUUGUGCUUGGGGUACCUGGGCAGUUUUUAAUGGUGCUCAGAGUAUGAGUUGUGCUUCCAGGUAGAGGCAAUGCAGUUUCUUCAUCUUCUGCAACCAGGAGUGCUCUGGUGCUGUGGCCUGGCCUGUGUUUGAGCAUCUCCACCAUCCUAUCUGGAUUAGAUAGCAAAGGGCUCCAGGGUGCUGUCUACUCUGAUCUAAGCAGCAUAGCUUCAGUUCCAGUCUGGUAAAGCUCUCAGACUCUAGUCUCCAUGUCACUUCCUCACCCCUCCCUUUGUUGCCUGGACCACCACAAACUCUGCUUCAGGAACCCAUCUGUAAAGUGGAGAAAAACAGUACGUUCCUGGAGCUGGGAAGAGAUAUGAGAUAAAUACAUCAAUGCCAGAAGGAAGCCAGCUGGUAAAGAUACAGUAAGCCUAGAUAAGCCCAACCAAAAUCAAAUGGAUUUUCUUUUUCCUUGUAACACAAAAAGGAUAACUAACAUUCUGCUCUGUUGGUGCUGAAACUUAACAGCUGUUGCUGCUGCAUCUUACUGAAAAAAAACUACCAGUCAAUGGUCAUGUCAGGGUAUUGCCCAACAAACACAGCCCAGCACUAUGACACCAGUUGCUGUGCAAAUCCUGACAAAGAAAAAAAUGCCAGCCAUGAGAAGAGAAGGGUCCCUUGUAAGGUGUGGCUGGAAACACUUUUGCUCACCCUACCACGCUGUGCAAUAGGCGCUUCUUCCUGCAGCUGUCUGAUCCCUCCUCACAACUAGCAAGUGUCUUGCGGGGAAUCUGCUAAGGAAUGAUGUGGUUUAACCAAGCAACACAAGCUAGGGAGCAGAGAAAUCAGACACAGCUGAAGGGUUAUUUUGGGAGAAGGAUGAAGCAAUACGAAUGUGCCCCUUUGACUCUCUCUGUGCUGAUUAGGAAUGGGAUACAGAUAUGCCUUGAAAAGGCACAGAAGUGGAAAGGAAGGAAAUUUAAGCAUGGGAAUCGUCAGUCCUAGCUUAGAUGUACAACUUAGAAGUCAUACAUCUUAAUCUGAACUAAUCACUGUAAACUCCAAGUGUAGUCAAUGGAAAAAAAUAGGUACUUUCAGGGGUGUUUCCACUCUAAGAAACAUUUAGAAUGAGUCAGAUGAUUCAUCUACUGGGUUUCUCUCCACUGACUAGAAAGAGUCUCAAGGAUGGCAAAUUCAGAAUAAGCUAUCUAAUACAUAGUUAGGUAGGCUGAAUUCUAUGCUAGACAAAGUCUUUCUUUUACUUGGUCUGGUUACGGAGGGUAGUACCCCCAGUCAGUAGAGAGCCAGAGCCAAGAAGAAAUAUUGAUCUGCACUUGACUCUCCCUUGGGUAGAUCUAUGCCUCAUGCCACAGCCCAGCACACAACAGAGGACCUGUUCUUUAAGCACCAUGUUUACAAGGCCCACUGAUAGAUUCCCAUGUUGCAGCAGCACUUACAAGGACAAAUAACCUUAUUUUUUUGUUCCCUUUAAACAGAUUUGGUAAGUUUUGUGUGCUUUUGAAAGCAAAACAAGUGGUAAUAUUAUUCUAAAACAAAAGACCUCUCUAUGGAACUCCAAUGUAAAGGUCGGAAAAUACAGCCCAUAGAUCAAUUUGCUACACACCUUAGGGGAAAUCUGAUGUAAUCAUAUGAUAGGAAUUGGUAACCUAAAGAUCAAUAUUUUUUGUGUGUUCUUGUCUCUUAAAAAGCUGAGUUAGGAAUUUACUAAUGACAAGUCAAAUUAUUGGCUGGGCAAAUACAUUCUUGGAGGAUUAAAAUAGUUCACAAGUACUGCCAGGUCUGCAAUUGCUGACAGUAUAAUUUCAUUAGUAUAAUACAGUUUUAGGGCAAGGAAAGUUUAUCCAAAUGCACUGUAAAUGUUGGGAUGACAUCAUCUGCCUUGCCUUAGACUAUCAUCAGAAGUCAUUUACUACUUUCUCUGGCCAAGCCCUUGGUCUCUCUUUGAUACCUGAACAAAGACGACAAAUGCUGCUCCUGUUCUGUCUUCAACAUCCUGGCUCAAAGGAGUGCUUGUGCAAGAACCUUGUGUCUUAUUAGUAGCUGAUGAGGAAAGAAGAGAGCAUGAAAGAACUGAAAGAGCACACUUCUGUGCUAUUUUCCACUUGGGACAUCUGAACAUCUGACAUCCACUUGGGAUGUCUAAAAAAAGCCAUUGCAUCAUGCUUUGUUCACUUCUGUCUUGGCUAAUAUUUCUUAAUUUUCACAAAUACCUCUUCAGUGGCUAAUGUUCCUGAGUGUCCCUCACAGACAUGCAAGACUGGGUGAGUAAUGGGAAUUCCUAACAAUCCAAAUCAACAAAAUGCUUGCCAGAGAGAGAACUGGUAUAACAAGUACCUCUCUCCAACCCAAUCAAAAUUAGAAGACCAAACAUUUCCUAUUACAAAAGAUCAUUCGAAUUUCAUGGCUAGGCUUUGAUACUGGAACUCACUUAAUUGCUAAGAAUGGAAACAAAAGGAAGACAAAUUUUCCAAAAAGGUAUUGGACACCACUUUUCUUUCAGCAGUCUUGGUUAUAGAGACUUUUCCAACAAAACCAAGCCUACAAAUGUAGUUAAUUAGGCAUAAUCAUUUGAAUAUCUGGUUUUUAUACUUCAGUAUUCUUUUUACCAGAUUUGUGAAACUGGAACCAUUUGUACUCAGUUUUAAGCAAUCUUUGGUCAUAGCUAACAAAAGUUGACAACAGAAGCUAUCUCAUUCUUUAUCGCAGUGUCACUGAUUAAGGUGGUAUUUGAGAACUUGAGGUCCUUAGGCUGGAAAAAAUGCUGGUGUUGGAUGGAGGCAAAUCACUGGGAGAAUGCACAGGUAGAGCACCGGCAGGCUAAGCAGAAGAAACAAACUCUAAGAAGGGGCUGGAUCAUCCAGUGCAUGGUGAGUUCACCAGCGCAACCAUUUUCUGAUGGUUGCAUCCAGUUUGGCUUUGCUUUUAGACAGCCAAACAGUGGGACUUCCUUUACUUCCCUUUGCCUUCUUAGGCAAAGGAUCAGUCUCCCAAGCAUUACAGGAAGGCAAUGCUGACAGUCCCCAUCUCUCUUUCAGCCUACAUGGGUUUCAACUUCCAGUGUGCAAUGCUUUUGCUGCAAGGUUCAGAGGAAGCAUCUGAUUACAAAUUGCUGGGCUCUGCAAAAUCUGCUUUUGGGUCAUUUAAACUGUGUAUUAUUGCAGCAAGGGACACUUUCAAAGGCUUAGAACUAAACAUGCCAGCUGUCAGCAUUGGAGCAGUGUGUCCAGGCCUUGGGGGCUCCCUGAGCCCUCCCUGUCCCUGCCCACCUCCAGGGCCUCCCUGACCCUGCCCAGCCCCAGGCCUCCAUCUCAGCCCAGCCCAGGGCUGUCAGUUCCUGCCCCAUAACACUGCAGCAGUGCUGGCUCCAUCACGACCCUGUCCCUCCCUGGCCACAAGCUCCCUGACCCCGACCCACAGGCAACUACCCAUCCCGGCCUCAGCCCAUCCCCAUCCCUGUGGCAGUGCCCAGUUCCCAGGACUGGGGCUGCCCUGGCUGCCCGGGUGCCCUUCUCUCUUGCAGGUGGUGGGACAGGCCCCGAGAAGCAAGCAUCCCUGUAAUGCCUGGCAGUGUCACAUCCAGAGCCACCUUCGGAGAGGCCGGGGACACUCCACAGCUCCUGGAAACCCGGAGACCAGAAAUCGUUCGGUAGCAGAGGUCACUGGCCGCUGCCAGUCCUGUCAGCAAACUAAAGGCCAGAAUACAAUAAGAGCUCUGGGAGCCAACUACUAGAGAGACCAGAGGUCUGGGACCUGGAUAGUGGAGAGCCCAGGGUCUGAGAACUGGCUGCUGGAGUGACCACAGAUGCAGGUUUGUGUCUGUGAGAGUCUGGGUGUGAGACCUGUGAGCAAGCUUUGCGCCUAGUUAGCUGGCAGGCACAGCACUGUCAGUUUGCAGAGGAGUGAAAUUCAUGCCGAUAAGAAGAUUACAGACUGUUUAGACUACCAUCAUUUUUGAUCCAUGGAGAACUUAUAUCUGUGCUGUAUACAUGUAAUUCUGGACAUUUGAAUUCCACUCUGACUUUCAUGGCAGGCACCAUGGCUUUACCGGUCGGAAACUAAUGUAGGAGUCUAAUGUAUGCAGCCGGCUUAUAAAUCUAUUGUGUUCCAGGGAAUUUGGAUCCAACAUUAUUCCGGAUUAAUGUGAAAUACAGACACUUUGCUGGUGUCAGAUCUGGCCACAAGCUUGGAAGCUGAAUGAAAUCAUACACAAUUUACAUCCUUAUUACCCUAUUUGUUCUUGAACUGUUCUUGGCUUCGGGACUGCAAAGUCCCCUGAAGUGUUUGAAUAACCAAAUAAAGAAACCUUUGUCUCUUUUUUGGCUACAGUGAAGGUUUAACU
Dromaius novaehollandiae (emu) is the source of this 5717-nucleotide RNA transcript. It is a transcript of the gene named coiled-coil domain containing 169, with no coding region annotated. NCBI's taxonomy places the organism in Eukaryota, Metazoa, Chordata, Aves, Casuariiformes, Dromaiidae. The transcript is spliced from 13 exons. The record is from RefSeq and is a predicted model, not a curated record.